This 253-nucleotide ribosomal RNA is filed under the name uncultured bacterium. RNAcentral's name for it is "partial 16S ribosomal RNA". It matches the Rfam family "Bacterial small subunit ribosomal RNA", at positions 524 to 776 of the family's 1533-position model. The record is from RNAcentral.
UACGUAGGUGGCAAGCGUUGUCCGGAUUUACUGGGUGUAAAGGGCGCGUAGGCGGGAGAACAAGUCAGAUGUGAAAUGCGGGGGCUUAACCCUCGAACUGCAUUUGAAACUGUACUUCUUGAGUAUCGGAGAGGCAGGCGGAAUUCCUAGUGUAGCGGUGAAAUGCGUAGAUAUUAGGAGGAACACCAGUGGCGAAGGCGGCCUGCUGGACGACAACUGACGCUGAGGCGCGAAAGCGUGGGGAGCAAACAGG